RNAcentral lists this ribosomal RNA (467 nucleotides) under uncultured bacterium. RNAcentral's name for it is "partial 16S ribosomal RNA". It matches the Rfam family "Bacterial small subunit ribosomal RNA", at positions 28 to 507 of the family's 1533-position model. The record is from RNAcentral.
GACGAACGCUGGCGGCGUGCUUAACACAUGCAAGUCGAACGGAAAGGCCUCAGCUUGCUGGGGUACUCGAGUGGCGAACGGGUGAGUAACACGUGGGUGAUCUGCCUUGCACUCUGGGAUAAGCUUGGGAAACUGGGUCUAAUACCGGAUAUGAACUGCCUUUAGUGUGGUGGUUGGAAAGUUUUUUCGGUGCAAGAUGAGCUCGCGGCCUAUCAGCUUGUUGGUGGGGUAAUGGCCUACCAAGGCGUCGACGGGUAGCCGGCCUGAGAGGGUGUACGGCCACAUUGGGACUGAGAUACGGCCCAGACUCCUACGGGAGGCAGCAGUGGGGAAUAUUGCACAAUGGGCGGAAGCCUGAUGCAGCGACGCCGCGUGGGGGAUGACGGCCUUCGGGUUGUAAACUCCUUUCGUCAGGGACGAAGCUUUUUGUGACGGUACCUGUAUAAGAAGCACCGGCUAACUACGUG